AUAUUUUACUUUGUGCUAAGAGAUUUUUAUGAUUUUUUGCUUUUAUUUUAAAGCUUUUAGUGUGUUUCACAACUUUAGCUUAUUUAUGCUUUUAUUUUAAUUCGAUUAAUUAUUUUCUGAAUAAGCGGUAAUUUGGAACCUACUCGUUGGGCAGGUCAUAACUUGACUAUGGGAUGAGGUUUGGCGCGUUCUAAUAUGCGUUGGAAAGCUCAGAAGAUAGACUACAAGUUUUUCGUUGAAGCAAAAAGCUAAUUUGGAGUGCAGAAGGGUCAAAU
This 275-nucleotide long non-coding RNA is filed under the name Lathyrus oleraceus (garden pea). Its description in RNAcentral is "Pisum sativum (pea) long non-coding RNA (PSAT_LNC011491)". The record is from RNAcentral. Lineage: Eukaryota; Viridiplantae; Streptophyta; Magnoliopsida; Fabales; Fabaceae.